RNAcentral lists this ribosomal RNA (790 nucleotides) under Vreelandella boliviensis. RNAcentral's name for it is "bacterial SSU rRNA". It matches the Rfam family "Bacterial small subunit ribosomal RNA", at positions 388 to 1171 of the family's 1533-position model. The record is from RNAcentral. Lineage: Bacteria; Pseudomonadati; Pseudomonadota; Gammaproteobacteria; Oceanospirillales; Halomonadaceae.
CCAGCCAUGCCGCGUGUGUGAAGAAGGCCCUCGGGUUGUAAAGCACUUUCAGCGAGGAAGAACGCCUAGUGGUUAAUACCCAUUAGGAAAGACAUCACUCGCAGAAGAAGCACCGGCUAACUCCGUGCCAGCAGCCGCGGUAAUACGGAGGGUGCAAGCGUUAAUCGGAAUUACUGGGCGUAAAGCGCGCGUAGGUGGCUUGAUAAGCCGGUUGUGAAAGCCCCGGGCUCAACCUGGGAACGGCAUCCGGAACUGUCAGGCUAGAGUGCAGGAGAGGAAGGUAGAAUUCCCGGUGUAGCGGUGAAAUGCGUAGAGAUCGGGAGGAAUACCAGUGGCGAAGGCGGCCUUCUGGACUGACACUGACACUGAGGUGCGAAAGCGUGGGUAGCAAACAGGAUUAGAUACCCUGGUAGUCCACGCCGUAAACGAUGUCGACCAGCCGUUGGGUGCCUAGAGCACUUUGUGGCGAAGUUAACGCGAUAAGUCGACCGCCUGGGGAGUACGGCCGCAAGGUUAAAACUCAAAUGAAUUGACGGGGGCCCGCACAAGCGGUGGAGCAUGUGGUUUAAUUCGAUGCAACGCGAAGAACCUUACCUACCCUUGACAUCUACAGAAGCCGGAAGAGAUUCUGGUGUGCCUUCGGGAACUGUAAGACAGGUGCUGCAUGGCUGUCGUCAGCUCGUGUUGUGAAAUGUUGGGUUAAGUCCCGUAACGAGCGCAACCCUUGUCCUUAUUUGCCAGCACGUAAUGGUGGGAACUCUAAGGAGACUGCCGGUGACAACCGGAGGAA